GUUUAGUAUCCAGUUAUAACACAUGACUUUAGUUUAGUAUCCAGUUAUAACACAUGACUUUAGUUUAGUAUCCAGUUAUAACACAUGAAUUGAGUUUAGUAUCCAGUUAUAACACAUGACUUUAGUUUAGUAUCCAGUUAUAACACAUGACUUUAGUUUAGUAUCCAGUUAUAACACAUGACUUUAGUUUAGUAUCCAGUUAUAACACAUGACUUGAGUUUAGUAUCCAGUUAUAACACAUGACUUGAGUUUAGUAUCCAGUUAUAACACAUGACUUUAGUUUAGUAUCCAGUUAUUACACAUGACUUUAGUUUAGUAUCCAGUUAUAACACAUGACUUUAGUUUAGUAUCCAGUUAUUACACAUGAAUUGAGUUUAGCAACAAAAGCACAUGUAUAGAACAUGUAUGGACAUGUGUUUCAGGGACUUCAGGAGAACAACACAACAGACAACAGACAACGGUUCUGCAGGUAGUGGAGAACAACACAACAGACAACACAGACAACGGUUCUGUAGGUAGUGGAGAACAACACAACAGACAACACAGACGGUUCUGCAGGUAGUGGAGAACAACACAACAGACAACACAGACAACGGUUCUGUAGGUAGUGGAGAACAACACAACAGACAACACAGACGGUUCUGCAGGUAGUGGAGAACAACACAACAGACAACACAGACAACGGUUCUGUAGGUAGUGGAGAACAACACAACAGACAACACAGACAACGGUUCUGUAGGUAGUGGAGAACAACACAACAGACAACACAGACAACGGUUCUGUAGGUAGUGGAGAACAACACAACAGACAACACAGACAACGGUUCUGCAGGUACGACAUAUGAGUAGACAGUUUAAUAGAUCCUGUAUAUGCAAGCAUCAUAGCAUACCAGUGAUGAUACGGAAGGCAGUGGCAGGAAGAUCAGGUUAGAAACCUGCCCAGAUAAAUGGACUGAUUUGGUGUUCCUGUCUCCACUUGUCUCUUUAGUCUCUGCUAUUCCGAAAUGUCUGCAUGCUUUUCCAGCACUUUUUCAUGUCAACAUAGUUUAACACCAGAUUGCUGACUAACACCAAAAUGGUUAGUAUGGACAUAUUAGUCCUUGUGUGUAUCCUGUGGUCUGGGAAUUGGAGGGGUUAACACUUCCUGCCAAGCCACAUAUUUAAACUCUAUUCUUCAGUAGGUGCUACUCGAGAGCGGCGAGACUCAGAGCAAACAACUAGUAUUGUAAAGGGAUAAUCCCUAUGGAACACCUGCCAACAUCAUCUGUGUGCUUACAGUUGCUCAUAUUCCCUCUUUUUCUAAACGUGUUGGGAGAAUGACUCUUCAGUCACCGAUAUGUCACCGAUAUGACAUCACACUCUCCCUGGCGGCAGGGUAGCCUAGUGGUUAGAGCGUUGGACUAGUAACCGGAAGGUGGGUUCUGAUAUGCUAAAGAGAAGACCUGGCAACAUUCUCUAGUGGUUCUGAUAUGCUAAAGAGAACACCUGGCAACAUUCUCUAGUGGUUCUGAUAUGCUAAAGAGAACACCUGGCAACAUUCUCUAGUGGUUCUGAUAUGCUAAAGAGAACACC
Molecule: long non-coding RNA, 1571 nt
Organism: Oncorhynchus tshawytscha (Chinook salmon)
Lineage: Eukaryota; Metazoa; Chordata; Actinopteri; Salmoniformes; Salmonidae
Source: Ensembl